GUUUUCAUAGUUGAAUUACAACUACAGUUUUUCGGGCUGUGAGUCUGGGUUAAUACCCCAGUGAAAAUA
Molecule: transfer RNA, 69 nt
Filed under: Calyptocephallela gayi (helmeted water toad)
Lineage: Eukaryota; Metazoa; Chordata; Amphibia; Anura; Calyptocephalellidae
Description: tRNA-Glu
Source: RNAcentral